AAUGAUAUGCGUCGUAUUAGCAAGGGAUCAAGCAUGGAAAGCUAACGGGUCAAGAGGAGACAAGGAAGGGAAUACGAAAACGGACGCUCAAGGAUCGAGUACAUCAGAUUCUUACGAAAUUUAAGCCCAACCCGGAAUAAGAGGAUGAGUGAUACACGGACUUCUUCUGCUACUUAGGAAGUGAAGCGGACAUAGAUCGAGUCAAGAGCAAGGAUUGCACGGAUAGAUCGAUCGUAUAGUUGAAAUAUAUAAUGUCUAGAAAUGUAAAUUUUAAUAUGAAUGUUGUGAAUUCUUUUAUAGUACGUUUAACAUUUUAGCUUUUGGAACCUUCUCAAAAGUAAUGUCGUUAACAAG
This is a long non-coding RNA of Helianthus annuus (common sunflower), 354 nucleotides long. RefSeq lists it as uncharacterized. NCBI's taxonomy places the organism in Eukaryota, Viridiplantae, Streptophyta, Magnoliopsida, Asterales, Asteraceae. The record is from RefSeq and is a predicted model, not a curated record. The transcript is spliced from 3 exons.